GGUCGCGUAGCUCAACUGGACAGAGCGCCGGGCUCCUAUCCCGGAGGUUGCCGGUUCGAGUCCGGCCGUGAUCGCCA
RNAcentral lists this transfer RNA (77 nucleotides) under Bradyrhizobium japonicum. RNAcentral's name for it is "tRNA-Arg". It matches the Rfam family "tRNA". From Rfam's summary of the family: Transfer RNA (tRNA) molecules are approximately 80 nucleotides in length. RNAcentral also lists the same sequence under 1 other name. Lineage: Bacteria; Pseudomonadati; Pseudomonadota; Alphaproteobacteria; Hyphomicrobiales; Nitrobacteraceae. The record is from RNAcentral.